Molecule: long non-coding RNA, 213 nt
Filed under: Musa acuminata (dwarf banana)
Lineage: Eukaryota; Viridiplantae; Streptophyta; Magnoliopsida; Zingiberales; Musaceae
Description: long non-coding RNA (MACU_LNC008242)
Source: RNAcentral
GCUCCGUAUGCGAAAUCUAACCAAUCGGGUCUCCUUCUUCCCAUCUAGGGAAGUCCACCCUUAUGCGUGGAUAGUUGAGAUCGAUCAUAGAACCUCCCCUCUUUUGGAAGUCAUAUCUUUGGGCUUGGUGCGAUUGGGCAGAGCUCUCUCCUUGAUGUGAUUUCUUCGGGCUUAGUGGUCGGCCCAAUCUGAGUUCAGUAAAGAGUGUUCGAA